This 587-nucleotide ribosomal RNA is filed under the name uncultured bacterium. Its description in RNAcentral is "partial 16S ribosomal RNA". It matches the Rfam family "Bacterial small subunit ribosomal RNA", at positions 355 to 1375 of the family's 1533-position model. The record is from RNAcentral.
UGGGGAAUUUUGGACAAUGGGCGAAAGCCUGAUCCAGCAAUGCCGCGUGUGUGAAGAAGGCCUUCGGGUUGUAAAGCACUUUUGUCCGGAAAGAAAUCCUCUGGGUUAAUACCUCGGGGGGAUGACGGUACCGGAAGAAUAAGCACCGGCUAACUACGUGCCAGCAGCCGCGGUAAUACGUAGGGUGCAAGCGUUAAUCGGAAUUACUGGGCGUAAAGCGUGCGCAGGCGGUUUUGUAAGACGGAUGUGAAAUCCCCGGGCUUAACCUGGGAACUGCAUUCGUGACUGCAAGGCUAGAGUAUGGCAGAGGGGGGUAGAAUUCCACGUGUAGCAGUGAAAUGCGUAGAGAUGUGGAGGAAUACCGAUGGCGAAGGCAGCCCCCUGGGCCAAUACUGACGCUCAUGCACGAAAGCGUGGGGGAGCAAAACAGGAUUAGAUACCCUGGUAGUCCACGCCCUAAACGAUGUCAACUAGUUGUUGGGGAUUCAUUUCCUUAGUAACGUAGCUAACGCGUGAAGUUGACCGCCUGGGGAGUACGGUCGCAAGAUUAAAACUCAAAUGAAUUGACGGGGUCAUAGCUGUUUCCU